Molecule: long non-coding RNA, 867 nt
Filed under: Equus asinus (donkey)
Lineage: Eukaryota; Metazoa; Chordata; Mammalia; Perissodactyla; Equidae
Description: lncRNA (ENSEASG00005026373.1)
Source: RNAcentral
GCAAGUUGCCUAGUCUCACAGCUGGUCAGUGGCGGAGCGCAGACUGGAGCCAGGUGGUGUAAGGCCAGAAUCUCCUCUGUCCUGACUUCCCAGGUUUGUCCUUCCCUGAUUUUCUUGUCUUUCUUCACUUUCAUCCCUUCUUGGCUUUAAGAAGAUGCCCUGAAAUAUGGCUUUUCAUCCUAGACAUCCCUCUGGACAGAGAAGCAAAUCUGUGCUCAUAUAGGCAAAGCUGAACCACACAGGACUCACCUUUGGCAUUUUGGCUGGAUCAUAACACGGCUCUGAACUAACUCAUCAUUUGUACAUUUCCUUUGCUCAUCAACGCUGCUGGGGAGUGGAAAUUCUCUAAGCAUCGCCCAGCUGCGUGCUGACUCAGAGAAAUUGAAACUGAGAAGUUGAUGAAAUGUGUCCCAGAUUAAAACACACUUUGCAAUGUUUUAUCAUGAACGUCUUCAAUCAUCCAGGAGAACCUAGAUUCCAUAGUCAACGUGCUCCUGUGCUCGCUCUGCCACCUAUCUCUCUCUCUAUGGCAACCCUCUACCCAGCCAUUGAUCCAUCUUGGGUUUUAUGCGUUUCACAGUGUUUCAGUUCCUCUGACCUCGGUUCCCCUGGGCUGGGCCACGUGCCCCUCCUCUCUGCUCCUGUGGUGGCCGUGACACAGACUGCAGCACUGACAUGGGGUUAAGCACAGAGCGCUGGGAUGACUUUUUCACCUGUUCUCCCCACGAGCCUGUCAACACUGCGAGGGCAAGUCGUGACCACCCUGUUCCCCACCACUCUGCUAGAGAAACCUCGAGUCGCUCAUGGAAUCUUUGCUAAAAGAAAUACCAGAGGAAAGGAGGGAGAAGAGGGUGUGAGCAAUAAAAC